ACGGGUGAGUAACGCGUAGGUAACCUGCCUGGUAGCGGGGGAUAACUAUUGGAAACGAUAGCUAAUACCGCAUAAGAACAUUUACUGCAUGGUAGAUGUUUAAAAGGUGCAAAAGCAUCACUACCAGAUGGACCUGCGUUGUAUUAGCUAGUUGGUGAGGUAACGGCUCACCAAGGCAACGAUACAUAGCCGACCUGAGAGGAUGAUCCGCCACACUGGGACUGAGACACGGCCCAGACUCCUACGGGAGGCAGCAGUGGGGAAUUUUGGACAAUGGGCGCAAGCCUGAUCCAGCCAUGCCGCGUGAGUGAAGAAGGUUUUCGGAUCGUAAAGCUCUGUUGUAAGAGAAGAACGAGUGUGAGAGUGGAAAGUUCACACUGUGACGGUAUCUUACCAGAAAGGGACGGCUAACUACGUGCCAGCAGCCGCGGUAAUACGUAGGUCCCGAGCGUUGUCCGGAUUUAUAGGGCGUAAAGCGAGCGCAGGCGGUUAGAUAAGUCUGAAGUUAAAGGCUGUGGCUUAACCAUAGUACGCUUUGGAAACUGUUUAACUUGAGUGCAAGAGGGGAGAGUGGAAUUCCAUGUGUAGCGGUGAAAUGCGUAGAUAUAUGGAGGAACACCGGUGGCGAAAGCGGCUCUCUGGCUUGUAACUGACGCUGAGGCUCGAAAGCGUGGGGAGCAAACAGGAUUAGAUACCCU
Molecule: ribosomal RNA, 698 nt
Filed under: uncultured bacterium
Lineage: Bacteria
Description: bacterial SSU rRNA
Rfam family: Bacterial small subunit ribosomal RNA
Source: RNAcentral